UUGGAGGGCAAGUCUGGUGCCAGCAGCCGCGGUAAUUCCAGCUCCAAUAGCGUAUAUUAAAGUUGUUGCAGUUAAAAAGCUCGUAGUUGAAUUUCGGGACCAAUAUGUCGGUCGUGCUUCGGUACGUACUUGCAUUAUUGGUUUCUCCCUUCUGAAGAACCAUGAUGUCAUUAAUUUGGUGUCUUGGGGAAUCAGGACUGUUACUUUGAAAAAAUUAGAGUGUUUAAAGCAGGCUCACGCUUGAAUACAUUAGCAUGGAAUAAUGAAAUAGGACGUUUGAUUCUAUUUUGUUGGUUUCUAGGAUCGACGUAAUGAUUAAUAGGGAUAGUUGGGGGCAUUAGUAUUCAAUUGUCAGAGGUGAAAUUCUUGGAUUUAUUGAAGACUAACUACUGCGAAAGCAUUUGCCAAGGAUGUUUUCAUUAAUCAAGAACGAAAGUUAGGGGAUCGAAGACGAUCAGAUACCGUCGUAGUCUUAACCAUAAACUAUGCCGACUAGGGAUCGGAUGAUGUUAAUUUUUUAAUGACUCAUUCGGCGCCUUACGGGAAAC
RNAcentral lists this ribosomal RNA (548 nucleotides) under uncultured Glomus. Its description in RNAcentral is "SSU rRNA". It matches the Rfam family "Eukaryotic small subunit ribosomal RNA", at positions 548 to 1098 of the family's 1831-position model. Lineage: Eukaryota; Fungi; Glomeromycota; Glomeromycetes; Glomerales; Glomeraceae. The record is from RNAcentral.